GUGUCAGCAGCCGCGGUAAUACGGAGGGUGCAAGCGUUGUUCGGAUUCACUGGGUAUAAAGGGUGCGCAGGCGGCCCGGUAAGUCAGAGGUGAAAUAUGACGGCUUAACCGUCAAACUGCCUCUGAAACUGCCAGGCUUGAGUCCGGGAGAGGAAGGUGGAAUUCCAGGUGUAGCGGUGAAAUGCGUAAAUAUCUGGAGGAACACCGGUGGCGAAGGCGGCCUUCUGGCCCGGAACUGACGCUCAGGCACGAAAGCUAGGGGAGCGAACGGGAUUAGAAACCCCCGUAGUCC
This 292-nucleotide ribosomal RNA is filed under the name uncultured bacterium. RNAcentral describes it as "partial 16S ribosomal RNA". It matches the Rfam family "Bacterial small subunit ribosomal RNA", at positions 505 to 796 of the family's 1533-position model. The record is from RNAcentral.